This 527-nucleotide ribosomal RNA is filed under the name uncultured bacterium. Its description in RNAcentral is "bacterial SSU rRNA". It matches the Rfam family "Bacterial small subunit ribosomal RNA", at positions 8 to 526 of the family's 1533-position model. The record is from RNAcentral.
AGAGUUUGAUCAUGGCUCAGGAUGAACGCUAGCGGCAGGCUUAAUACAUGCAAGUCGUGGGGCAGCAGGGGUGUAGCAAUACACUCGCUGGCGACCGGCAAACGGGUGCGGAACACGUACGCAAUCUACCCAAAACUGGUGAAUAGCCCUCCGAAAGGAGGAUUAAUACACCGUAACUUAAUGAAGUGGCAUCACUUUAUUAAUAUAGCUCCGGCGGUUUUGGAUGAGCGUGCGGCUGAUUAGGUAGUUGGCGGGGUAACGGCCCACCAAGCCUGCGAUCAGUAACUGGUGUGAGAGCACGACCAGUCACACGGGCACUGAGACACGGGCCCGACUCCUACGGGAGGCAGCAGUAAGGAAUAUUGGUCAAUGGACGCAAGUCUGAACCAGCCAUGCCGCGUGGAGGAUGAAGGCCCUCUGGGUUGUAAACUGCUUUUGCAGGGGAAUAAACCUCGAUACGUGUAUCGAGCUGAAUGUACUCUGAGAAUAAGGAUCGGCUAACUCCGUGCCAGCAGCCGCGGUAAUAC